RNAcentral lists this ribosomal RNA (789 nucleotides) under uncultured Staphylococcus sp. Its description in RNAcentral is "bacterial SSU rRNA". It matches the Rfam family "Bacterial small subunit ribosomal RNA", at positions 129 to 904 of the family's 1533-position model. The record is from RNAcentral. Lineage: Bacteria; Bacillati; Bacillota; Bacilli; Caryophanales; Staphylococcaceae.
CCUAUAAGACUGGGAUAACUUCGGGAAACCGGAGCUAAUGCCGGAUAACAUUUGGAACCGCAUGGUUCUAAAGUAAAAGAUGGUUUUGCUAUCACUUAUAGAUGGACCCGCGCCGUAUUAGCUAGUUGGUAAGGUAACGGCUUACCAAGGCAACGAUACGUAGCCGACCUGAGAGGGUGAUCGGCCACACUGGAAUUGAGACACGGUCCAGACUCCUACGGGAGGCAGCAGUAGGGAAUCUUCCGCAAUGGACGAAAGUCUGACGGAGCAACGCCGCGUGAGUGAUGAAGGUUUUCGGAUCGUAAAACUCUGUUAUUAGGGAAGAACAAAUGUGUAAGUAACUGUGCACAUCUUGACGGUACCUAAUCAGAAAGCCACGGCUAACUACGUGCCAGCAGCCGCGGUAAUACGUAGGUGGCAAGCGUUAUCCGGAAUUAUUGGGCGUAAAGCGCGCGUAGGCGGUUUCUUAAGUCUGAUGUGAAAGCCCACGGCUCAACCGUGGAGGGUCAUUGGAAACUGGGAAACUUGAGUACAGAAGAGGAAAGUGGAAUUCCAUGUGUAGCGGUGAAAUGCGCAGAGAUAUGGAGGAACACCAGUGGCGAAGGCGACUUUCUGGUCUGUAACUGACGCUGAUGUGCGAAAGCGUGGGGAUCAAACAGGAUUAGAUACCCUGGUAGUCCACGCCGUAAACGAUGAGUGCUAAGUGUUAGGGGGUUUCCGCCCCUUAGUGCUGCAGCUAACGCAUUAAGCACUCCGCCUGGGGAGUACGACCGCAAGGUUGAAACUCAA